RNAcentral lists this long non-coding RNA (2983 nucleotides) under Canis lupus familiaris (dog). RNAcentral describes it as "lncRNA (ENSCAFG00000054662.1, ENSCAFG00805008771.1)". The record is from RNAcentral. Lineage: Eukaryota; Metazoa; Chordata; Mammalia; Carnivora; Canidae.
CACUUGUCACAGAUCCAUGGAAGGUGCCCGCAGGUUUUUCAGAGCCUGAGAAAGCAGGAGGGAGGCUGGGUCAGUCUCACAGGAGGAAGGAGCCCUGCACCGUGGGAGGGCUUUGCAUUCCCAGGCGGACAGAAAGUUCUCUGCAGGUGGGAACAGAGCGACCCAGCCCCUGGCUGGAGCUGGGCACAGACCAGGGGCUGGGUACAUUUUUCCAAGUGAGUGUGAAUUGAUGGUGUCUCCUGAUGGGUGGAGGAGAGAGGACUGGCAGUGGGCCCUCUCAUAGCCACUUAGGAGCUAUGAAACCUGGAGCAAAUGACUUGACUUCUCCAAGGCUCAGUCUUGUCCUCUGUAAAAUGAGGAUGAUAACAUUUAGCCUCUCGGGCUUGUCAUGGGGAAGCUGCUACCAACACAGAUGAGGAAGGGCUUGCGGAUGCCGUACCUCCACCUCGUGCUACUGUUGAUGAUGCUGUGUUGGGAGAGAAGGAACCUUGGGAGGUCUCUACCCAGAUGAGACACGCUGAGGUCACCUACAUCUGGAAUCCCAGAAUCUCCUGUGACCACCUCUGGUCCCAACCAUCCCUGUGGCCUUCAAUGGAUCUUAAGAAUGUUGCACUUGACCCACAGAGUGAAAGGAACACUGAGCCAGGUUCGCACACCCCAAGGUCCCAGGGUUUUUUCUUUGCACCUGUUGCUCUUGCCACGAUCUCAGGGAAGAGCAGCUUUGGAAGGAAGGGGCCUUCUGUGCUUUCACAGCAUUUACUCCCCACUAAGGCCCCUCCUUUGUCCACAUCACCACCAGAAGCCAGAUCUAAAUCGUGAGCAGAUUUCACUUAUCUGGAGGCUUCCGGAGUAGGUGGAGGACGGCCGGCAGCUUUGUGGUCUGCUACUGACUCCAGCACUGCGUCCUGAACCUCACACAAGUGUAGAUGCUGUGAUUUAACUCAAUUGCUCCUUUGGUGGACAUUAUGAUUUCCAUUAUUUCUGUGAAGGACCCAAGGUUUGGAAAGACAGCAGGGCAAGUGGGACCCCCAACCCAGGACUUCCAUCUCAAAGUUCCUAGUGCUUUCCCAUUACAGUCAUUUGGCCCAUUCCUACGAAAUCCCUGCAGAGCACUGGAUCCUGAGUUUGGCCCAAACACAGCCGCCCUGGCCAGCCCAGCCCUUUCCUGGCUAGGGAGGAUCUUGAAUGCAGGCCAAUGUGCUUGUUACCUACCCUCCAGAGAAACCAGAGGUUUUCUUAGGUGACUCACACAAUACAGAACUGAUAUCUGAUCCUAUUAAUUGGAACUCAACAACUAGGAAGGGAAUUAACACAUCCUACCCCAUGCAGAGUAUCCAGAGACAGCAGGGUCCUACGGAUCCUACAGGAGAGUUUUCUGAUAAGAAGCCUUAGGGAUAGCAAAUUCAAUUGCCUCAGGGUUCAAAGUUAGGAAGAACAGGUCAGGAAGGCACUGGGAUAAGUCCUUUCUCUUCAUGAUUGAACUGCAUCCUCUCAACAUUCCUGGGAAGUAGAAAUUACCUCUAGCUGCUUUAUUUAUCUUUAAGAUUUUGUUUAUUUGAGGGAUCCCUGGGUGGCUCAGUGGUUGAGCGUCUGCCUGUGGCUCAGGGCAUGAUCCUGGAGUCCUAGGAUCGAGUCCCACAUCGGGCUCCCUGCAUGGAGCCUGCUUCUCCCUCUGCCUGUGUCUCCGCCCCUCUCUCUCUCUCUCCCUCUCUGUGUCUCUCAUGAAUAAAUAAACUCUUAAAAAAAAAAAAGAAUUUGUUUAUUUGAGAGAGCAAGAGUGUGAGAGAGAGCAAGAGCAUGAUCAAUCCAGGAGGUCAAAUGUGUAACGUCCUUAUCACAGCAGACAAUGUAGCUAGGCAUCAGGGACACACCGAUGAAGUGGCCAAAGGACCAGAUGGUAGUCCGAGUGAGUGGCCCAACUAUCCAGUGCCAGGGGAGGGUUGUGCUAGUCCUGGCUUGCAUACUUCUCUCUUGGAUUCUGGAAAAAUCCCCCACUGUGUCUCUCAGCAUUUCACAUUGCACAGACCCACCAGAGCCGCCUAUGCUGUAUUUGAUGCUGUCGUUCUCCUACUCAGCAACCUUCAGUUUUCCCACCUCACUUCCCAAAAAUCCCCACUCAGCAUCCUGUGUGUCAGAUCACCUGGAAUCAUUACACCCAUGUUCUCCUCUGCUCUAAGUGCCCAGCCCUGACUCCCACCAGGAGUCAUCUCAGCUUCCUCCCAAGACACCUCACCUGUGCCUUUCUCUCUCUCUCUCUUUCUUUCUUUCUUUCUUUCAAUAUUUUAUUUAUUUAUUCAUGAGAGAGAGAGACAGAGACACAGACAGAGGGAGAAGCAGGCUCCACGCAGGGAGCCCAACGUGGGACUCGAUCCCGGGUCUCUGGGAUCACACCCCGGGCCGAAGGCGGCGCUAAACCACUGAGCUACCCAGGCUGCCCACCUGUGCCUUUCUUAAGCCAUGCAUCACUCUGCCCUUCUUGCCUGUGAGCAACUUGAGAGUCAAGAUUGUGGAGUUUUUUUUGUAAGUGAGUGUGUCUGUUCCCAGGCACCCAGUGUGGGGCUCACGCUACACAGGUGCACUAGACAAGCUUUGCUUGGGUCCACUCGGUACCUGUUCCUCCUUAUUCUGCUAACAGCCUCAAGAUUUUUCUUUGAGGAACCACCCUCACUCACACAAAGUGCAUGUGGUUUGCAUGGGGCUGACUGCCCACUUCCUGGUUCUUAAGGAAUCAUGUGUCUCAAGCCUGGUUCAUCUAUAUAUUCCAUAAACUAUCCCCCGAUCAAGUGAUAGGCUUAGGAAUGGACAUCUGGGGCACAUGGGUGGCUCAGUGGUUCAGCAUCUGCUUUCAGCACAGGUCAUGAUCCUGGGGUCCUGGGAUCGAGUCCUGCAUCAGGCUCCCUGCAUGGAACCUGCUUCUCUCUCUGCCUACGUCUUGGUCUCUCUCUCUGUGUCCCUCAUGAAUAAAUAAAUGAAAUCUUAAAAA